This 446-nucleotide ribosomal RNA is filed under the name uncultured prokaryote. Its description in RNAcentral is "bacterial SSU rRNA". It matches the Rfam family "Bacterial small subunit ribosomal RNA", at positions 355 to 796 of the family's 1533-position model. The record is from RNAcentral.
UCGAGAAUCUUCCGCAAUGGACGAAAGUCUGACGGAGCGACGCCGCGUGCGGGAUGAAGGCCUUCGGGUUGUAAACUGCUGUCAGUUGGGAGGAAAUCCAUGGUGGCUAUCCAUCAUGGUUGACCGAUCUUCAGAGGAAGUCCGGGCUAAGUUCGUGCCAGCAGCCGCGGUAACACGAACCGGACGAACGUUAUUCGGAAUCACUGGGCUUAAAGAGUCCGUAGGCGGCUUGGUAGGUGAGGUGUGAAAGCCCACGGCUCAACCGUGGAAUUGCGCUUCAAACCACCAGGCUAGAGGGAGAUAGAGGUGAGCGGAACUGAUGGUGGAGCGGUGAAAUGCGUUGAUAUCAUCAGGAACACCGGUGGCGAAAGCGGCUCACUGGGUCUCUUCUGACGCUGAGGGACGAAAGCUAGGGGAGCGAACGGGAUUAGAUACCCCCGUAGUCC